Sapajus apella (tufted capuchin) is the source of this 1270-nucleotide long non-coding RNA. RefSeq lists it as uncharacterized. The record is from RefSeq and is a predicted model, not a curated record. NCBI's taxonomy places the organism in Eukaryota, Metazoa, Chordata, Mammalia, Primates, Cebidae. The transcript has 2 exons.
CUCACGAGUUCAAGUAGUCCUCCCGACUCAGCCUCCUAAAGUGCUGGGAUUACAGGCUUGAGUCACUGCGCCCGGCUGACUUUCUCUAAUUUAAUAUCCUCAGUUUUGGGGCACUUCGUUCAUGGAAACAGCUUUGCUGUAAAGGCAGUUGGGCAUUAGGGGACUCCUGGUUGGGUCCUUGGGGGGGUCUCUGGGUGCUGUGUCACCACAGGAGGGUCUGGCCUUGGGUCCUUUUUCCCCACCGCAGGCAGAGCUGUGUGCUGCAGAGAGCAGGGACGUUGGUGUCAUCAGACGUGGGCACAUGCUGCUGCUUCCUCACUCUCCAAGCCUCAGUCUUCUCAUCUUUAAAAUGGGAUCAAUAGCACCUGCUUGGAGGUUGUGCUGGGAUCACAUUAGAAACCAUUGUGGGCCAGGUGUGGUGACUCAUGCUUGUAAUCCCAGCACUUUAGGGGCCGAGGUGCGAGGAUUGCUAGCGCCCAGGAGUUCGAGACCAGCCUGGGCAACAUAUCAAGACCUUGUCUCUCCUAAAAAUAAGAAACCAUUUUAUAUACCAUGGCCCAGGGUGGGUACCAGUGGCCCCCCCUUCCUUGUCACCCGUGGGGCCUUCAGGCCUGUCUCCUCUCUCUCCUCUGUGCUGGCCAUGGUGACACCAGGUUCUUGGAGCUUGUUUCACAUGCUGGGGCCCUGAACCCACACAGCCUCAUCCUCUCCAUGGUGGCUCCAGGUGGGGUUGCUGCGCCCCAGCCUCAUGCCACAUUGCGUGGAAGCCGGGACUAACUUCAGCCCCGUGCGAUUUUAUCCAGAGUGGAUGUCUCAUCUGAUGUGACUGCAGCACUGGCAAAUUUUCCAGGUGAUGAAUGCCCCUGCCAUGGGUCUAAAUGCUGCUGUGUUCUGGGAGCCCAGCCUUUAUCAGCCCAGCCCACCUGGCAUUCUCUCUGAGUGGAGCCUUGCCCUGGUGCGCCAGCCUGCCUUCAGCUCUCUGAACACCAUCUUGCAAAAUGCCAUAAAGACACUUCUUAAAACACAUCAUUGAAUUCUCGUUCCCCGCUGCACUUUAUGGUUCUGGCGGAGCUUGCUUCCUCCCGCUCGGCUUUGGUGCCUGGGAGCCGCUGGAAGCUGCGUCCGGGGUCAGGCCUCUCCAUCAAAAUUUACUGCGAACAUCUUUUACAACACCUGUCUCACUGAGCUGUGAAAUACUCUCGCCUCUUCAAAAAUGAAAGGAAUGAAAAUGCAUGUUUUACAUCUUCUAUAUAAAAAAAAAUAAAACUCA